Molecule: non-coding RNA, 352 nt
Organism: Danio rerio (zebrafish)
Lineage: Eukaryota; Metazoa; Chordata; Actinopteri; Cypriniformes; Danionidae
Source: Ensembl
AUUUACAAAAAUAAAUGCUGUUUAGAUUUGUUUAUAUAUAUAUAUAUAUAUAUAUAUAUAUAUAUAUUGGCUUUAAAAAAAAGGGUAAACGUAUUACACAAUGGUGGUAGAAACAAAACGGCUGCAUAGAAUUGACAUAAUUUGUAUCAUAUAUAUUUUAUAUCUAAAUAGAAAUAAUAAUUUUCUCAAAUAUAUGCAUGCAUUUGUGUAUUUAUAUAUAAUAAAUAAACACAGUACACACAUAUAUAUUAUGUCAAAACAAACUUUUAUUUUGGAUUAAUCCCGAUUCAUUUUUGCCCAGCACUAAGAAAAAAUCAUGAAAAUAGUAUAUAUAUAUAAUUUAUUUAAUUUA